RNAcentral lists this non-coding RNA (86 nucleotides) under Candidatus Excrementavichristensenella intestinipullorum. RNAcentral's name for it is "TPP riboswitch (THI element)". It matches the Rfam family "TPP riboswitch aptamer (THI element)", at positions 7 to 92 of the family's 105-position model. Rfam says of the family: Vitamin B(1) in its active form thiamin pyrophosphate (TPP) is an essential coenzyme that is synthesised by coupling of pyrimidine and thiazole moieties in bacteria. The record is from RNAcentral. Lineage: Bacteria; Bacillati; Bacillota; Clostridia.
CCGCUGGGGGCGCCGAAAGGCUGAGAUGGGCGGCUUACGCCCGGUCCCUUGGAACCUGACGUGGGUAAUCCCACCGUAGGGAAGCG